Molecule: ribosomal RNA, 538 nt
Filed under: uncultured delta proteobacterium
Lineage: Bacteria; Deltaproteobacteria
Description: partial 16S ribosomal RNA
Source: RNAcentral
GUACCGCGGCUGCUGGCACGGAGUUAGCCGGUGCUUCCUCUGAUGGUACCGUCAAGGGUGGACGAUAUUAGCCCCCACCCAUUUCUUCCCAUCUGACAGAGCUUUACGACCCGAAGGCCUUCCUCACUCACGCGGCGUUGCUGCGUCAGGGUUUCCCCCAUUGCGCAAGAUUCCUCACUGCUGCCUCCCGUAGGAGUCUGGACCGUGUCUCAGUUCCAGUGUGGCUGGCCAUCCUCUCAGACCAGCUAACCAUCGUUGCCUUGGUAGGCCAUUACCCUGCCAACUAGCUAAUGGUACGCGGGCUCAUCCUCCGGCGAAAGCUUGUAAACAGAGGCCUUCUUUGAAAGGCACUCCGCAGAGCGUCAGUGUUAUCGGGUAUUAGCCCGCCUUUCGGCGGGUUAUUCCUGACCGGGGGGCAGAUUACCCACGCGUUACUCACCCGUGCGCCACUGUACUCAUCGGCCGAAGCCGACUUUCUCGUACGACUUGCAUGUGUUAGGCACGCCGCCAGCGUUUGUUCUGAGCCAGGAUCAAACUC